Dreissena polymorpha is the source of this 329-nucleotide long non-coding RNA. RefSeq lists it as uncharacterized. The transcript has 3 exons. The record is from RefSeq and is a predicted model, not a curated record. Lineage: Eukaryota; Metazoa; Mollusca; Bivalvia; Myida; Dreissenidae.
CAACAGUUGAUUGAUUUCAAAACCUGUUAAGCCAGAUAAGUUUUCCCUCUCUUUUGCAUUGUGUUCUGGACAGUCAAAGUGUCAGCAGUCAGUUUUUGCUUGAGCUGCAGAGUUUUAUUUCUUCAUGUGUAUUUCUUAUCAGUUUUAACCAUCACCACAGUUAGUGAGAAAAGAGAGAGGCGGACAGACAGGUGUAAAAGCCCAAACCACAUUUGGGCUUUAAAAGUCUUGAGCCAACCUAAAGGGAAUAUUGUAAUCCUUCAGUAUGACAUCAUGAACAGUUUCUAAUGAACACUAUUAUGAAAUUGAAUAUAUUAUUGAAAGAAACA